GGAGGAAGCUCAGUGGUAGAGCACUUGCCUAGGGUGCAUGGGGCACUGGGUUCAAUUCCCAGUAUGAUGCA
RNAcentral lists this transfer RNA (71 nucleotides) under Marmota monax (woodchuck). RNAcentral's name for it is "tRNA.Pro". The stretch from base 7 to 62 matches the Rfam family "tRNA", at positions 9 to 63 of the family's 71-position model. Rfam says of the family: Transfer RNA (tRNA) molecules are approximately 80 nucleotides in length. Their secondary structure includes four short double-helical elements and three loops (D, anti-codon, and T loops). The record is from RNAcentral. Lineage: Eukaryota; Metazoa; Chordata; Mammalia; Rodentia; Sciuridae.